This is a regulatory RNA element of Odoribacter laneus CAG:561, 98 nucleotides long. It matches the Rfam family "TPP riboswitch aptamer (THI element)". From Rfam's summary of the family: Vitamin B(1) in its active form thiamin pyrophosphate (TPP) is an essential coenzyme that is synthesised by coupling of pyrimidine and thiazole moieties in bacteria. The previously detected thiamin-regulatory element, thi box was extended, resulting in a new, highly conserved RNA secondary structure, the THI element, which is widely distributed in eubacteria and also occurs in some archaea. NCBI's taxonomy places the organism in Bacteria, Pseudomonadati, Bacteroidota, Bacteroidia, Bacteroidales, Odoribacteraceae. The record is from Rfam.
AACCAUCAGAAGGGGUGCCUUAACACGACGGGCUGAGAUCAUACCCAUUGAACCUGUUCCGGAUAAUGCCGGCGGAGGGAAGAUGUAACAGAUGUGCG